This 3968-nucleotide long non-coding RNA is filed under the name Equus asinus (donkey). RNAcentral's name for it is "lncRNA (ENSEASG00005028075.1)". The record is from RNAcentral. Lineage: Eukaryota; Metazoa; Chordata; Mammalia; Perissodactyla; Equidae.
GAGGAACUGGAGGGUUGUUUCCUGGACUGAAACGCUAAUGCUCUUUUUUUUCUUUGGUGAGGAAGAUUGGCCCUGAGCUAACAUCUGUUGCCAGUCCUCUUUUUUUUCCUCCCCAAAGCCCCAGUACAUAAUUGUAAGUCAUUCUAGUUCUUCUGCAAGGGAUGCUGCCACAGCAUGGCUUAAUAAGCAGUCUGCACCCAGGAUCUAAACCAGUGAACCCCUAGCCACCAAAGCAGACCACGCCCCACAGGGCUGCCCCUUUUUUUUUAAUUAAAAAUCUUUUGGAAUUAUGGUAAAAUACACAUAACAUAAAAUUUACAUCUUAACCAUUUUAAAGUAUACGGUUCAGUAGUAUUGAGUAUAUUCACGUUGUAAUGGAUCUCCAGAACGUUUUUAUCUUGUAAAUCUGAAACUCUACCCAUUAAACAGCAAUUCCUCAUUUCCCCCUCCUCCCAACCCCUGGCAACCACCGUUCUACUUUCUGUCUCUGUGAAUCUGACUAUGCUAGGAGCCUAGAUGAGUGGAAUUACACAGUAUUUGUCUUUUUAUGACUGACUUAUUUCACUUAGCAUAGUGUCUUCAAGGUUCAUCUACACUGUAGCAUGAGUCAAAAUUUCUUUCCUUUUUAAGGCCAAAUAAUAUUCCAUUGUAUGGAUAUACCACAUUUUGUUUAUCCAUUCAUCUGUCGAUGGACACUUGGGUUGCUUCCACCUCUUGACUAUUGAAAAUAAUGCUGCUAUGAACAUGGAUGCGCAAAUAUCUCUUCCAGAUGCUACUUUCAAUUUCUGCGAGGUAUAUACCCAGAAGUGGAAUUACUGGACCAUCUGGUAAUUCUGUUUAAUUUUUUCAGGAACUGUGAUACUGCUUUCCACAGUGACUGCACCAUUUUACAUUCUUUCCAUUAAUGCACAAGGGUUCAGUUUCUCUAUAGCCUCACCAAUGCUCUUUAUUUUCUGUUUUCUGAUUACAGCCAUCCUCAUGGAUGUGAGUUGGUAUCUCAUUUUGAUUUCGGUUAGCAUUGUUGUAAUGAUUACUAGUAUUGAACAUCUUCUCAGGUCCUUAUUGGCUGUUUGUUUGUCUUCUUUGGAGAAAUGUCUAUUCAAAUCCUUUGCCCAUUUUUGAAUUGGGUUGUUGUUUUUUUUAUCGCCUAGUUUUAGGAGUUCUCUACAUAUUCUGGAUAUUAAUCCCUUAUAAGACACAUAAUUUGCAAAUAUUUUCCUCCAUUCUGUGGGUUGCCUUUUUAUUCUGUUGAUAGUGUCUUUUGAUGCACAAAGUUUUUAAUUUUCCUGAAGUCCAAUUUGUCUGUUUUUUUUCCUUUGUUGCAUGUGUUUUGGAGUCAUAUCUAAGAGAUCAUUGCCAAAUUCAGUGUCAUGAAGCUCUCUCCUCAUGCUUUCUUGUAAGAGUUUUAUAGUUUCAGCUCUUACAUUUAAGUCUUUGGUCCACUUUGAGUUUUUUUUUUUGAGUAAGGGUCCGGCUUCAUUAAUUUGCAUGUGGACAUCCUGGUUUCCUGGCAGCAUUUGUUGUAAAGACCGUCCUUUCCCCAUUGAAUGGUGUUGACACCCUUGUCAAAAAUCAUUUGACCAGCUAAUGCUCUUUGCAGGUUUUUGUUGAACUGUGCCUUCAUCAUUAUUCCUUAGACGUGUACCCAAAAAUGCCGUCCCCUCACACCAAGGAUGUUGCCGCAAGCUGUCUUCCCCUCUCCUGCUCUGGCCCUGGUGUGCCUGGUCAACCGGCUGCUCCUUGUCCUCGAUCGCAGCUAGUGUCCAAGGGCUGGAUGGUGGGAAGCAGAAACCCAGCUUCACCCCUCACUCAGUUGCUGAACAGCAGGUGGGUUUUGUUCUGUGCCGGACUUGGACCCUGAGGGCUGGAGGCCUGUCCUUUCUGGGGUCCUCCCUGUGCUACUUCCAGAGCCCCCUCCCUGGCCACAGGAGCAGAUGAGGUUGUGGUGCUUGUGCUCCGGGGCGGGGAGAGCCACGAUGCCUCUGGGAGUCACAUCUGGGUCUGUCCCCUCUACCAUUACAGUGCCUCCUGCUUUCCUGCUGAGGUGGCCCCCAGCAGACCCAGCCCACUCUGGGGCUCACACUGCCCUCCAUUUCCUCCAGUGCGUCAGCAGGCAGCCGUUUUUGUGGUAGGUGGGGUCUGACACCUUCCUGCACUUGGCCUCUCAUGUUGCACAGCCCCUGCACUGCCCUCCUGUUUCCAGAGCAGACUUGCUGCCUGUUCCUGGCCAGCGCAUGGGUAGUCGGGGGUCAGGGGAGCUUCUCCCCUGGGGUCUGGGGAGCCUUUCUCAGCCCCUGUGCGUGUGGCUUGGUCUUGCAGUGGCAGAGGCUCACACUUGCCUUGGGGAGAAUGGGAAAAAGCAGCUCCCAGACUGCACUGCCAGUGAGGACGGACUCAUCCUCACACCCCUGGGCCAGUACCAGAUCAUCAACAGGCUGCGCAAGUUUGACAUCAAGUACCAGGGCAGUGCAGAGCUGUAGCCCAUCCAGAGCUAUGAGAUUGCUGGCCUGAUCCGGCUGUCUUCCGCCAUCAACCACAGGAUGAGUGUGGGCGGGAGAGCCGCACCCUCGUCUCCAUGCUGGCUUCCUGUCCUGCCAGCCUAUGGGAGAGGCCAGGUGGAAAGUGCAGACCCCACCCAUGCCCACUCUCCCAUGUCUCUGUCGGUGCUCUAGUUUGCAGGCCAGAUGGCUGCCCUGUAUUCCUGGGCUGACUUCUUCAGCAGCUUCUGUCACUACCACCUCACGGAGCCCAGGCUGCCAGACAGGCACCUGCUGCACCAUGUGUGGUGGGGGCACACGGCUGGUUAUGGCUGGCACCCCAGGCUCAGCCUAUGCUUCCUGGGCAGCUAUCAGACACUGCUGUCACUCCUGCUGGCCUUCUUUGUGGCCUCUGUCCUGCAUCAGGCCCCUGCCCUGCACCCUCCUUCUCAUGCUGGGCUACCGCCUCUACACCAUGGCCAUCACGCUGCUGACCGAGCAGGCAAGCUGCACCAGCUCUGAUCGCAGGCUGACCAUGUCCCUGGGCAAGUCAGUGGGGUGGCCACACAGUCCCUCCCUUGCACCUAGAAGGCCACCUCUGAGCCUGAGCCCAGUCACCUUUGAGCUUCUAGGGGAGAUUUUCCUACAGCUCUGGAACCAUCCAGAAGAACCUGAAAUGAGAAAGGCACGGUGUCAGAGUCAUGAGUCGCCUGGUACUGGGCCCUCCCUCCUUCCCUCAGCUGGAGGCCCCGCAGUGCGAUGGCUCUCAAGGCCUUUCCCUUCUAUAACCAUUUGUGGACUUAGCCGUGUGAAGCUCAGGAGUCAGGGCGUCCCCAGGAGGGCUUUGGCCUCUGCCCUCGCUGUUCUGGAGGUGGGCAGUAUGUGGCGAGUCUCAUCUCCCUAGGUGACACCAGGACAGUAGCUCAGCCUCUGGCUCCAGGGAAGAAGCAAAGACCCUAAAAGAGAUUGCUGAGGAAAUUAGAUGAUGGUUCUCUGAAUCCUAAUUUUAAAGCUACAUUUGGCAAAGCAAGGGUCAUUCUCCUUCAUAUUCUCCCAGCAAUUCCAAAGCUGGGCCGUAUGAUUCCACUUUUGAGGAGAAAAGAUCCUCUAGGAGCACAGAUACUUGGGGGGACCCAAGGUGCUUCACCUCUGGCUCCGUUCCAGCCCUCGAGCCAUGGAGCACGUCACUCAGUGGCCGCCUGGCAUCACCACCUUGUCCAGGACUGGCUCUCGUCUCUGUGGGCGGAGGGCAGGUGGUGGGGCCUCUGAGUUGGGCAUCUGGUCUACAACCAAAGAUGGUCAAAAGCACUGUCUGUAUCUUCAGUAAAAUCAAGUGCUCAAAGACACGGUCCCUUUUGAUAACACCUUAAUGUUUGCACUACACGACAGUUACAUGGUCACUGUCAGAAAUCAUCCCCACCGGGUCUCUAGCACCUCCAUUCAUUGCACAAAUGACGCUCUGGAGAGAACAUCUCAACGGUGAUUUUAAAC